AAGUCGUAACAAGGUUUCCGUAGGUGAACCUGCGGAAGGAUCAUUAACAAAUCUGAACUGGUCUAGUGCAAGCAGAGUUAUAUCUGCUCGUACUAGAUCACAUUGACUCAGCUCGGCUAUUUAUUAGCCGAGUGUUGAGACACAUUCACGCUUGUUGUGUUUGACUGAGUUAAUAUGUGACAAAAUAAAGACAACUUUUAACAAUGGAUCUCUUGGCUCUU
This 221-nucleotide unclassified non-coding RNA is filed under the name fungal sp. Its description in RNAcentral is "partial internal transcribed spacer region". The stretch from base 1 to 46 matches the Rfam family "Eukaryotic small subunit ribosomal RNA", at positions 1786 to 1831 of the family's 1831-position model. Lineage: Eukaryota; Fungi. The record is from RNAcentral.